RNAcentral lists this long non-coding RNA (640 nucleotides) under Marmota monax (woodchuck). The record is from RNAcentral. Lineage: Eukaryota; Metazoa; Chordata; Mammalia; Rodentia; Sciuridae.
GGGAAGCAAUGCAGAAACCGGUCCAAGGAUGUUUUGAAUUCAGGCAGGAGCUGCGGUGGCAGAAGGACCAGGUGGUGGUGAUGUCUUGAGAAGUGACCAGAUUCUGGUGCACUGAAGUGGAUCUGAUGUGAGUUCCUGACAGACUUGUGGGCCAUAAUGAAAAGAGAGAAGUCAAGGACAAUUCCAAAGAUUUUGGCCUGUGGCAAUAAGGAGUGUCACAGAUGCACAGGGUAGACUUUGGAUGUGUUCUACUUGAGGGACCUUUCAUACUUCUGGCAGAAGACAGCCUCAAGAAGAAAUUGGAUCUUUGACUCAAGAGUCGGAGGGAGAUGAGUAGGAGACGAUUGGGAGACAUACAUUAGAGGCAUCGUGGUAGGGAUGGUAUUUAAAGAUAAGAGACUCAGAGAAACUAAUGGGGGGGGGCGUUGCUGACAUUAAAGGAUAGGAGAAUGAAGAGAAAUUUACUUAAUAAAAAAGAAGCUAUAUGCAAGAGCAAAAAUGGAUUCCAGGAAGGUGGGACUGGAUUAGAUGUGGCUGCUGUCUGACCUCCAUCAGCUUUUCUUAGUUCCGAUUUGGAUGAAUGCACAGGGUGACAGCAACAGGCUGGAAAUGGGGUCUGGUUUAGGCACAGAAUCUGUGG